ACCUUCUUUCGUUUAAGCACUGUGUCAAAACUGCAGACACCAUGAUCACAUCUUGGUUUUUGUAAUAAUGUUAGCAGAGUACACGCAAGAAGAAAAGGAACUGCACUAGACUGUAAAACCUGGGUGGGCCUCUCUCUUAAUGUCUAGUGCCCUUUGUCUUAAGAUUUGAUGCAAUAUAC
Hyaena hyaena (striped hyena) is the source of this 179-nucleotide small nucleolar RNA. RefSeq annotates it as small nucleolar RNA SNORA81. The transcript has a single exon. Lineage: Eukaryota; Metazoa; Chordata; Mammalia; Carnivora; Hyaenidae. The record is from RefSeq and is a predicted model, not a curated record.